RNAcentral lists this long non-coding RNA (219 nucleotides) under Olea europaea (common olive). RNAcentral's name for it is "long non-coding RNA (OEUR_LNC004263)". Lineage: Eukaryota; Viridiplantae; Streptophyta; Magnoliopsida; Lamiales; Oleaceae. The record is from RNAcentral.
CACCCGAAAUGAUCUAGUUUCUCAUUUAGACUAUCUACUUCUUUCUAUUUUUUAUUGUUGCCCUCUCCCAUUUGUCAUUCAAUAAACUUGUAGUUUUUCUUAAUCAAGGAUGUGGAUAGGCUCUCGUAUUUUGCUUCACUUAAUCAAUGUUGGUUUCUUUUCGAAGCAAUAACAUGUAUCUAUCAUGCUAUUGAACGGAUCUACUUCAACGUGGAGUAU